Molecule: long non-coding RNA, 1752 nt
Organism: Macaca fascicularis (crab-eating macaque)
Lineage: Eukaryota; Metazoa; Chordata; Mammalia; Primates; Cercopithecidae
Source: Ensembl
UUUUUUUUUUUUUUUUUUUUUGAGACGGAGUCUCGCUCUGUCGCCCAGGCUGGAGUGCAGUGGCGCGAUCUCGGCUCACUGCAAGCUCCGCCUCCCGGGUUCAUGCCAUUCUCCUGCCUCAGCCUCCCGAGUAGCGAGUAGCUGGGACUACAGGCGCCCACAACCGCGCCCGGCUAAUUUUUUGUAUUUUUAGUAGAGACGGGGUUUCACCGUGGUCUCGAUCUCCUGACCUUGUGAUCCGCCCGCCUCGGCCUCCCAAAGUGCUGGGAUUACAGGCGUGAGCCACCGCGCCCGGCUAUUUAUCUAAUUUUUAAACUGUAUAUCUAUAUAAAAGAUGAAUUCUCACUGUGGUGCCCAGGCUGGUCUUGAACUCUUGGCCUCAAAAAAUCCUCCAGCAUCCGCUUCCCAAAGGCUGCAUAAGCCCGGGAGUUCAAGACCACCCUGGGUAGUAUAGCAAGACUCCAUCUCAGAAAGAAAAUUUUUUAAUGAAAAUGUUGUCCAAAUUUAGAUGUGCUAUAAACAUAAAAUACAUCUGGAUUUCAAAAAUGUAGUGUGAAAAAAGAAGGUAAAAUAUCUCACAAUUAUUUUGUAUUGAUUGCAUGGAUAUAUUGGGCUAAAUAAAAAAUACAUAUAUUUUUUGAGAUGGAGUUUCACGCUUGUUGCCUAGGCUGGAGUGCAAUGGCAUGAUCUCGGCUCACUGCAACCUCUGCCUCCCACGUUCAAGCGAUUCUCCUUCCUCAGCCUCCUGAGUAGCUGGGAUUACAGGCGUGUGCCACCACGCCCGGCUAAUUUUGUAGUUUUAGUAGAGACGGGAUUUCUCCAUGUUGGUCAGGCUGGUCUCAAACUCCUGACCUCAGGUGAUCUGCCCGCCUCAGCCUCCCAAAGUGCUGGGAUUACAGGUGUGAGCCACCACACCUGGCCUAAUAAAAAAUAUUAAAAUUGACAUCUCUUAAUUCUUUUUGCUUUUAUGUGUAGCUUACUAGAAAAUUUAAAUUUAUGGCUUGCAUAAUGUGGCUUGCAUUAUAUUUCCACUGUCCACUGCUGCUUAAGGCACUGCUUUCUGGCUUGUAACAUCACAGAGAGAGACAAGCAGACACUACGUGCCUCCCUCCUGAAUGCAUUACCUGGGAAGCAGUGUGGGGGAAAAUAAAAUCAAACUUGAAUCUGAAUCUGAUUAAGUCUUGAGAUCCAGUUAUUAGGUUGAUCCAUGUAAACUUCUGUUUUUGUAGGUCAAAAAUGGUCAAAUAUCAGCAUAUAUAUGUAUAUCUUAAUUACAUAUUUCGUGACAGCGUCUCGCUCUGUCGCCCAGGCUGGAGUGCAGUGAUGCAAUCUCAGCUCACUGCAACCUCUGCUUUCCGGGUUCAGCGAUGCUUGUGCCUCAGCCUCCCAAAUAACUGGUAUUAGAGGCACCUGCGCCACCAUGCCCAGCUAAUUUUGUAUUUUUAGUAGAGGUGAGAUUUCACCAUGUUGACCAGGCUGCUCUAGAACUCCUGGCCUCAAGUGAUCCACCCACUUUGGCCUCCCAAAGUGCUGGGAUUACAGGCAUGAGCCACUGCUCCUGGCCAGAUUAAAAGAUAUUUUUAAAGAGAGCUAAAAUGGAAAAGAAAUUUCAGAAGUGACUGUCCUAAGUAUCAAGACAGAUGUUCCUCUCAGAGUGUGCUGUGAGGUUGUGUUUGGAGGGGGCAGGUGGAAAGCACUUGGGAUGGCUGUGAGGUUCUCUUUGCUUUCAUGGGGGUGACUGGAGUAACUCAC